UCUGGUCCCGUUUAGUUUAGUUGUGGCCUCCUAACCGGAGCUGACCUCUGUGUGACCCCUGGGCCGGGCCUGACCCGUUUCUCGCCUCUGAUCUCUCGCUCCUCUCCGAACGCUGAAGACAUCGACCGGCGGGCCGCAGGAUGACAGGGGUCACGCGGUGACUCCCGCAUGCGGCCCGGUGUCGGCGGCCCACGAGUGCUGUUACCCGGGAACAAGCAGGGCUUUUAUCACAUCUCCAGCUCUGACUCAGAAACUGCAUUUCCAGCCUCUCUCUCUCCCUCUCUGUCUCCGGGACGAACGAGCGGACACGUUUCUCCACAGCAGUUCAAGCGCAGGAGCAGCCCGUCAGGCCCGUCUCU
This is a long non-coding RNA of Rhinichthys klamathensis goyatoka, 359 nucleotides long. RefSeq lists it as uncharacterized. The transcript is spliced from 2 exons. The record is from RefSeq and is a predicted model, not a curated record. NCBI's taxonomy places the organism in Eukaryota, Metazoa, Chordata, Actinopteri, Cypriniformes, Leuciscidae.